GGGAAGGGCAGUAGGUCAGUGGCAGAGCAUCUGCCUUGCAUGCAGAAGGUCCCAGGUUCAACCCCCAGCUUCCCCA
Molecule: non-coding RNA, 76 nt
Organism: Podarcis lilfordi (Lilford's wall lizard)
Lineage: Eukaryota; Metazoa; Chordata; Lepidosauria; Squamata; Lacertidae
Source: the annotation of a GenBank genome assembly